UACGAAGGGGGCUAGCGUUGCUCGGAAUCACUGGGCGUAAAGGGUGCGUAGGCGGGUCUUUAAGUCAGGGGUGAAAUCCUGGAGCUUAACUCCAGAACUGCCUUUGAUACUGAGGAUCUUGAGUUCGGGAGAGGUGAGUGGAACUGCGAGUGUAGAGGUGAAAUUCGUAGAUAUUCGCAAGAACACCAGUGGCGAAGGCGGCUCACUGGCCCGAUACUGACGCUGAGGAGCGAAAGUGUGGGGAGCGAACAGG
This 253-nucleotide ribosomal RNA is filed under the name uncultured bacterium. Its description in RNAcentral is "partial 16S ribosomal RNA". It matches the Rfam family "Bacterial small subunit ribosomal RNA", at positions 524 to 776 of the family's 1533-position model. The record is from RNAcentral.